CCUUGAUUUGGACUUCCACACUCCAAAACUGGAAGACUGUGAGAAAAUACAUGUAUGUUGUUUAAAACACACAAGUAAAUCAGUCAUUAUCCUGACCAUGUCAGUAUGUAGCUCCCUUUGCUUUCAUAGAUUUUCACUUGUAUCCCUGACUUUAUUGGAACAAAAGCCUCCUCGCACAUAAGUGUCUCCGUUCACUGGUGCAGCAGACUCCCUGACACAUAGUAGGCACUCAGGAGAUGUUGAAUGAUUGGACAAGUUAAGCCCAUCCCUCUGUGACCAGGCUCACCUAGCUCAUCCCCAAACAUGGCUUUCCUUAGGCACAGUUGUUGCUCUAGACCUCCACACAUUCUUGGCCAGAAAGAUGCUCACACUGAAUGAAUGAAGCCACAUUGUUGCCCUUUGCCUUAGGUCUGAAGUCACCUCUUAGUCACCAAGCCAUGAGCACCCUUAAAAGCCAUAGUCCAGUGGACAUUGACACUGAUAAGCUAUGGAGUAAUCUUCUGUGGUGAUAAAAAGAUAAGGUGGAGGAAAUGGAGUCCUUUCAAUUACUAGGUAACAAACCGCUCUGAAGUGUAACAGCAUAAAACAGAAGCUAUUAUUUCUCCCAGCGGUUGGGUAGUUUCCUGACCAAGGUGACAACACAAAGGGAUGGGGAGAGGUGAGCUGUGGCCAGAAACCACAAGUUAGCAGCAGGACCAGAGCUGCUGCCCCUGGUCAAAGCCCGGCUGUUGGGUACAAAGCUUGAUUUUGCCGCCAAAAAGAUUGGAUGAUUCAUAACAUCCCGGCUCCAGUGGACACUAUGUCCAGAGGCCUCUUCUAGAGGAGACUGGGAUCCGCACUGCAGCCAGGUCACCUGGAGAGGCCGGUGGAGUGGACGAAGCAGGCAAAGGCGGCAACAGAGUAGAGGGUGCUGUCCAGGAGCUUCCGGAGUCUCAGUCCCCACCAGGCGGGGCUGGGAGGCUCCCAGCGGCCGUCUGGCCUGCAGAUGCCACCAUGGAUACAGCAGAUCAAAUGAUGCAAGCAGUUACUGCCCUUUUACAGUUCAAGUGACAUCCAGGCCCGGUGAACGCCAAGACCUCUAGGAGUAGAAGCCAGCGUCUCUACACAGCAGCUGUCGCAGGAAUUCAACAGUGAGCGCCCCACAGCAGGUCUGCUCAGGUUCCCUCUACUCUUGCCCCAACCCCAAGGUGUCUGUGUGUGCGAUCACCACAGCCAGCCCUACGCUCCAUUUUACAAAUGGAGAAACAGAUCCAGAGCAGGGUGUGAGCCCUCCAAUUUCACACCAGCAACUGGUUGACCCCUGAGGAGACUCCAGGCCACCUGACAUGCAGUCACACCUUCCACACCUCUGGUUGUCUCCUUGUUUGGUGGCCUGGUGGGAGGGCAGAAGAGCCAGGGGGCAUGGCUGUUCAGCUUUGAUUGAUAGCAACCAUCAGUAAUCUGUUAGAUAGCCACAAACUAUCAUGGGCUUCACACUGAAACCUCAUAUCAACUCUGGAAGUAAAUUGUCUCAUUUGUCAUAA
Heterocephalus glaber (naked mole-rat) is the source of this 1523-nucleotide long non-coding RNA. RefSeq lists it as uncharacterized. The record is from RefSeq and is a predicted model, not a curated record. NCBI's taxonomy places the organism in Eukaryota, Metazoa, Chordata, Mammalia, Rodentia, Bathyergidae.